CGCGUAGGCGGUUUGUUAAGUCGGAUGUGAAAGCCCCGGGCUCAACCUGGGAACUGCAUUCGAUACUGGCAGGCUAGAGUAUGGUAGAGGGAAGUGGAAUUCCGGGUGUAGCGGUGAAAUGCGUAGAUAUCCGGAGGAACAUCAGUGGCGAAGGCGGCUUCCUGGACCAAUACUGACGCUGAGGUGCGAAAGCGCGGGGAGCAAACA
RNAcentral lists this ribosomal RNA (207 nucleotides) under uncultured bacterium. Its description in RNAcentral is "partial 16S ribosomal RNA". It matches the Rfam family "Bacterial small subunit ribosomal RNA", at positions 568 to 774 of the family's 1533-position model. The record is from RNAcentral.